UUCGAAGCAACGCGCAGAACCUUACCAGCCCUUGACAUACCGGUCGCGGACACAGAGAUGUGUCUUCAGUUCGGCUGGACCGGAUACAGGUGCUGCAUGGCUGUCGUCAGCUCGUGUCGUGAGAUGUUGGGUUAAGUCCCGCAACGAGCGCAACCCUUGCCUUUAGUUGCCAGCAGUUCGGCUGGGCACUCUAAAGGGACUGCCGGUGUUAAACCGGAGGAAGGUGGGGAUGACGUCAAGUCCUCAUGGCCUUUAUGACCAGGGCUACACACGUACUACAAUGGCCGAUACAAAGGGCAGCGACACUGCGAGGUGAAGCCAAUCCCGUAAAAUCGGUCUCAGUCCGGAUUGGAGUCUGCAACUCGACUCCAUGAAGUUGGAAUCGCUAGUAAUCGUGGAUCAGCAUGCCACGGUGAAUACGUUCCCGGGCCUU
Molecule: ribosomal RNA, 433 nt
Filed under: uncultured Desulfobulbus sp.
Lineage: Bacteria; Pseudomonadati; Thermodesulfobacteriota; Desulfobulbia; Desulfobulbales; Desulfobulbaceae
Description: bacterial SSU rRNA
Rfam family: Bacterial small subunit ribosomal RNA
Source: RNAcentral